Molecule: ribosomal RNA, 561 nt
Filed under: uncultured bacterium
Lineage: Bacteria
Description: bacterial SSU rRNA
Rfam family: Bacterial small subunit ribosomal RNA
Source: RNAcentral
GGUAAAUGCGUAGAGAUCUGGAGGAAUACCGAUGGCGAAGGCAGCCAUCUGGCCUAAUACUGACACUGAGGUGCGAAAGCAUGGGGAGCAAACAGGAUUAGAUACCCUGGUAGUCCAUGCCGUAAACGAUGUCUACUAGCCGUUGGGGGAUUUGAUCCUUUAGUGGCGCAGCUAACGCGAUAAGUAGACCGCCUGGGGAGUACGGUCGCAAGACUAAAACUCAAAUGAAUUGACGGGGGCCCGCACAAGCGGUGGAGCAUGUGGUUUAAUUCGAUGCAACGCGAAGAACCUUACCUGGCCUUGACAUAGUAGAAACUUUCCAGAGAUGGAUUGGUGCCUUCGGGAAUCUACAUACAGGUGCUGCAUGGCUGUCGUCAGCUCGUGUCGUGAGAUGUUGGGUUAAGUCCCGCAACGAGCGCAACCCUUUUCCUUACUUGCCAGCAUUUCGGAUGGGAACUUUAAGGAUACUGCCAGUGACAAACUGGAGGAAGGCGGGGACGACGUCAAGUCAUCAUGGCCCUUACGGCCAGGGCUACACACGUGCUACAAUGGUCGGUACAA